AACGGAGGAGGCACGUCACUACUUGAUUUCGCCAGGGCUUCCGAGCUUAUGAUUGCGAACUCGACAUUUCAGAAGAGGGAGGAGCAUUUGGUCACCUUCAAGAGUUCGGCGGCGAGGACUCAGAUUGAUUACCUCCUCCUCAGAAGAUUUGGUCACCUUCAAGAGUUCGGCGGCGAGGACUCAGGUUGAUUACCUCCUCCUCAGAAGGAGCUAUAGGGGUAUGUGCAAGGACUGCAAGGUUAUUCUGGGAGAGUCCAUUUCGACUCUUCAUAGGCUCCUAGUGAUGGAUGUCGGUCUCUGGGUGAAGAGGAAAAUGAGGGGUGCUCGGGGACAGCCGCGGAUUAGAUGGGGUGUUUUGACUAAGGAGAAAGCACAGGAAC
RNAcentral lists this long non-coding RNA (380 nucleotides) under Nicotiana benthamiana. RNAcentral describes it as "long non-coding RNA (NBEN_LNC026250)". Lineage: Eukaryota; Viridiplantae; Streptophyta; Magnoliopsida; Solanales; Solanaceae. The record is from RNAcentral.